This 305-nucleotide ribosomal RNA is filed under the name uncultured bacterium. Its description in RNAcentral is "bacterial SSU rRNA". It matches the Rfam family "Bacterial small subunit ribosomal RNA", at positions 335 to 657 of the family's 1533-position model. The record is from RNAcentral.
CGUCCUACGGGAGGCAGCAGUGGGGAAUAUUGCACAAUGGAGGGAACUCUGACGCAGCGACGCCGCGUGAGUGAAGAAGUAAUUCGUUAUGUAAAGCUCUAUCAGCAGGGAAGAUAAUGACGGUACCUGACUAAGAAGCCCCGGCUAACUACGUGCCAGCAGCCGCGGUAAUACGUAGGGGGCAAGCGUUAUCCGGAUUUACUGGGUGUAAAGGGUGCGUAGGUGGCAGGGCAAGUCAGAUGUGAAAGCCCGGGGCCCAACCCCGGUACUGCAUUUGAAACUGUCCGGCUGAAGUGCAGGAGAGG